Molecule: ribosomal RNA, 497 nt
Filed under: uncultured bacterium
Lineage: Bacteria
Description: partial 16S ribosomal RNA
Rfam family: Bacterial small subunit ribosomal RNA
Source: RNAcentral
GAUGAACGCUGGCGGCGUGCCUAAUACAUGCAAGUCGAACGAACAGACGAGGAGCUUUCUCCUCUGACGGUAGCGGCGGACGGGUGAGUGACACGUGGGUGACCUACCUAUAAGUCUGGGGUAACGUCGUGGAAGCGGGGCUAAGACCGGGGAAGAUAUUGAACCGCAUGGGUCCAUAGUUAAAGGCGGUUUUGCUGUAACUUAUAGAUGGAUCCGCUCGGCAUUAGCUAGUUGGUAAGGUAACGGCUUACCAAGGCGACGAUGCGUAGCCGCCCUGAGAGGGUGAUCGGCCACACUGGAACUGAGACACGGCCCAGACUCCUACGGGAGGCAGCAGUAGGGAAUAUUCCGCAAUGGGCGAAAGCCUGACGGAGCAACGCCGCGUGAGUGAUGAAGGUCUUCGGAUCGUAAAACUCUGUUAGUAGGGAAGAACAAAUGUGUAAGUAACUAUGCACGUCUUGACGGUACCUAAACAGAAAGCCACGGCUAACUACGUG